AUCUCAUCAGAAAUAAAAAUAAAAAUACCCAGAUCCUCGUCCUACCCCUUCCUCAGGUGCCAAGGCUGCUUAGAAACUGACUGCCAGGUUGGAAACCUGCAUACGUUUCUGGAGAAGACAAGGGAUGCAACUGAUUUGCAAAAACCCAGGUGCACUGCAGCAAAACAAACCAAACAUCCUUCUCAUUUCUGAGUUCCCUGAACCACAGAGCAGCAUGCCUUUCACUUAGGAGAGGCUUAAUAAAGGUUAAAUGAAUUGAA
This is a non-coding RNA of Macaca mulatta (Rhesus monkey), 260 nucleotides long. Lineage: Eukaryota; Metazoa; Chordata; Mammalia; Primates; Cercopithecidae. The record is from RefSeq and is a predicted model, not a curated record.